Molecule: long non-coding RNA, 787 nt
Organism: Entelurus aequoreus (snake pipefish)
Lineage: Eukaryota; Metazoa; Chordata; Actinopteri; Syngnathiformes; Syngnathidae
Exons: 5
Source: RefSeq, a predicted model, not a curated record
CAAGAGGUAGCUAAAAAGAAGUAGCCAACCUGAGGCGAUCAAUUAAAUGACGCUUUGGUGCCUGCUUGUGACAAAUUAUCUCUUUCAGAAAAAAAAAACUCAAUCUUGUUGACACAUGCUCAACUUCCUACCAACUAUGGCGUUUCUGUUUUACUGGAUCUGAGCCUCCCAACAAAAGCUUCAGUUAGACUCCAUUCACAAGGUGUACACCGCCUUCUGCCGGAAUGCAGCUGAGAUAGGCUCCAGCACCCCCCGCGACCUCAAAAAAGGGACAAGCGGUAGAAAAUGGAUGGAUGGAUGUCUACACAUUGUACUGUAUGUCCAGACUUGAUCUCACAUCAGUCAGAUGUCCUGAGAUGAGGACCGUGAGCGAGAUGUGACAUCAUCACUCGGAGAAGACAAAGUGUUGGCGCCAAUGGAGCUGGCAGGAAAUAUGUCCUAGAAGUUGUGACGCUGAUCGGAAGCAACAUGUCCUCCAUGUUGUCCACCGAGGAGGAGACGCCAGGCCGCCGCCGCCGUGGAGGACGACGCAUGCACGCACUGGCAGGGCGCUGGAGAACCUUUGGACUUCAGGUAAGAAUGACGCCUGUCAUCAGACAUCACAUGACACACACGAUCAUGUGACCAUCAUGUGACGACUUCCUGUCAAAACAUGUUAGCUCCUCCAGGAGUGCAUGAAGAAUCCUGCUGGUGCAUAUUUUUAUGAUUGAUGAUUUAUGAUUAUUGUGUUGUUAUGAUUGAUGAUAUAUGAUUAUUGUCUUGUUAUGAUUGAUGAUAUAUUAUAAUU